GAGUCAGGUGGAUCUUUGUGAGUUCGAGGCCAGCCUGGGCUACCAAGUGAGUUCCAAAAUGUUGAUUGGAGCUUGCAUGAUAUGUUGAUUGGCAUUUCCGUAUAAACCAGGACCUGACAACAUCCUGGUUGCUCCUAUCUAAU
Molecule: small nucleolar RNA, 143 nt
Organism: Peromyscus leucopus (white-footed mouse)
Lineage: Eukaryota; Metazoa; Chordata; Mammalia; Rodentia; Cricetidae
Product: U8 small nucleolar RNA
Exons: 1
Source: RefSeq, a predicted model, not a curated record